GGGUAUGAUCGUACUUGUACUAAUGCAUCGGAUCCCAUCAGAUGAAGUCCACAAUUAAGCUAGCUUGGGUGAAAAUAGUACUAGGAUGGGUGCCCUCCUAGGAAGUGCAGGUGUUGUACCCC
This 122-nucleotide ribosomal RNA is filed under the name Macleaya cordata. The record is from RNAcentral. Lineage: Eukaryota; Viridiplantae; Streptophyta; Magnoliopsida; Ranunculales; Papaveraceae.